This 80-nucleotide transfer RNA is filed under the name Frigoribacterium sp. CFBP 8754. RNAcentral describes it as "tRNA-Val". Lineage: Bacteria; Bacillati; Actinomycetota; Actinomycetes; Micrococcales; Microbacteriaceae. The record is from RNAcentral.
UGCGCAACUCGCGGCAACGACGUACCCGCCGCGCCACGUUUACACCGUGGAUGUCGUCGGUUCGAGCCCGGCAGGGCCCA